RNAcentral lists this ribosomal RNA (207 nucleotides) under uncultured bacterium. Its description in RNAcentral is "partial 16S ribosomal RNA". It matches the Rfam family "Bacterial small subunit ribosomal RNA", at positions 568 to 774 of the family's 1533-position model. The record is from RNAcentral.
CGCGUAGGUGGUUUGUUAAGCGAGAUGUGAAAGCCCCGGGCUUAACCUGGGAACGGCAUUUCGAACUGGCAGGCUAGAGUGUGGUAGGGGGUAGUGGAAUUUCCUGUGUAGCGGUGAAAUGCGUAGAUAUAGGAAGGAACACCAGUGGCGAAGGCGGCUACCUGGACCAACACUGACACUGAGGUGCGAAAGCGUGGGGAGCAAACA